This 392-nucleotide ribosomal RNA is filed under the name uncultured bacterium. RNAcentral's name for it is "bacterial SSU rRNA". It matches the Rfam family "Bacterial small subunit ribosomal RNA", at positions 28 to 416 of the family's 1533-position model. The record is from RNAcentral.
GUUGAACGCUGGCGGCAUGCCUAACACAUGCAAGUCGAACGGCAGCACAGCAGUAGCAAUACUGUGGGUGGCGAGUGGCGGACGGGUGAGGAAUACGUCGGAAUCUGCCCAGUCGUGGGGGAUAACUAGCCGAAAGGUUAGCUAAUACCGCAUACGACCGAGAGGUGAAAGCGGGGGACCGCAAGGCCUCGCGCGAUCGGAUGAGCCGACGUCGGAUUAGCUAGUUGGCGGGGUAAAGGCCCACCAAGGCGACGAUCCGUAGCUGGUCUGAGAGGAUGAUCAGCCACACUGGAACUGAGACACGGUCCAGACUCCUACGGGAGGCAGCAGUGGGGAAUAUUGGACAAUGGGCGCAAGCCUGAUCCAGCAAUGCCGCGUGUGUGAAGAAGGCC